AGACAACAAAAUGUUUAAUAUUAUUAUUUUGUCACCUUAGGUCGAUCGGUAACUCACGUUCUUAAUUUAUUAAGAAUUUCAUUUCCUAAGUUUUUCUAGGUCACACCCAUUAUUUUCCUGGGCCAUUAGCUCAGGUGGUUAGAGCGCACCCCUGAUAAGGGUGAGGUCCCUGGUUCAAGUCCAGGAUGGCCCAUAUCUCUAUGUUGGGGGUAUAGCUCAGUUGGUAGAGCGCCUGCUUUGCAAGCAGGAUGUCAGCGGUUCGAGUCCGCUUACCUCCACUGAUUACCACCUCUACCAUAAUUUGUAGAAAGGAAUGUUUUGAGUUGUGAUCAAAUUCUGAACGAAUCUAGCUUCCUAAUGAAAUCAUUAAGAUGCUGGACUCAUUGAAUUAAUUUCAUUGUUUUCAGAGAACCUUGACAACUGCAUAGAUUAUUUUUAAAGACAAUAAGCAUCUUUAAUGAUGCAGAUUUAUUAUUUGUGCGAAUGCAUUAAUAACAAUUCUAUUAAGCUGAUGCUUCAAUUUUGAAGUUAUU
RNAcentral lists this transfer RNA (533 nucleotides) under uncultured cyanobacterium. RNAcentral describes it as "partial 16S-23S intergenic spacer". The stretch from base 206 to 278 matches the Rfam family "tRNA". Lineage: Bacteria; Bacillati; Cyanobacteriota. The record is from RNAcentral.